GACGAACCGUGCGAACGUUAUUCGGAAUCAUUGGGCUUAAAGCGCGUGUAGGCGGAUUCGUGCGUCUGUCGCUGAAAUCCCCCGGCUCAACCGGGGAACGGGCGUGGAUACGACGAGUCUGGAGGGGCAUAGGGGGACCUGGAACUUCCGGUGGAGCGGUGAAAUGCGUUGAGAUCGGAAGGAACGCCCGUGGCGAAAGCGAGGUCCUGGAUGCCUACUGACGCUGAGACGCGAAAGCCAGGGGGGCGAACGGG
RNAcentral lists this ribosomal RNA (254 nucleotides) under uncultured bacterium. Its description in RNAcentral is "partial 16S ribosomal RNA". It matches the Rfam family "Bacterial small subunit ribosomal RNA", at positions 524 to 776 of the family's 1533-position model. The record is from RNAcentral.